Molecule: long non-coding RNA, 436 nt
Organism: Brassica rapa (field mustard)
Lineage: Eukaryota; Viridiplantae; Streptophyta; Magnoliopsida; Brassicales; Brassicaceae
Source: RefSeq, a predicted model, not a curated record
AGGAAUCUGUUUGUGUUCAACAUAAAAAAAAAGGUAUUCUGGAUGAAAUUUCAUGUUUCUGAAAUUAUGACAAAUGAUCAAAUAAGAUGGAUCAUGAACCACUAAAUCAAAAUUUUAAUAGAAGAUUUACUAACUCAUUCUUUUCAUAUGCUAUCUGAUUUUGAAGUUUGUUUGUAAUAUGCAUCAAAUAUUUUAUUUUUGGUAAAUUAUAAGACAUCUAAAGUUGGGGCAUUUUGGACCAACUCUCAUCGUGUUGAUAUAAUCAUCGAGUUGAACUUAAUGUUAUCACCGAGUAAUUAGGUCUAGAAUGCAAUAAUAGUCUUUAUGAUUUGGUCACGUAAUUGGCUAGAAAAUAAAAGAGAUCAAAUGGUAAUAAAAAGAAGAAAAAAAAAAGUAUAUACCGAAGCAUCAUAUGGAGAUCAUCUAGUUUGGAAGG